CGGCGAGCGUUUGGGAGUCACUAGGUAAGCGUUCUGUUCGCGGGGCCGCCGCUCGGCCGCUUCUGCUUUUUUUAGAUCGGCACGGAGCGGCCGCCGAAGCGCUCGAGACCGAGCGCGACCCCGGGCGCCUGCCUCCGCCCCCCGGAAGAGCGUUGCCAGCGCUUCGACCCCUCCCGCUUCCAGCACGGACCGCGAGCCGGACGGGACCGCGGAUUCCUUUCCCAUCCGCCCUGCGCUUUACGCGUACCUUCAGGAGCAUCAUCUGAUUUUCGUAGCGGAGACGCGGUGGGACAGCUUGCACAACUGGAAUGCUGUUGUGGAUGGCAUGUUUUGUUUGUUUAUUUAUUUUUUUUCAGGGAAGACAGAGCAGCGAGGCGGUGGAGUUGCUCUUCUGGUGACGUAACUGGAACGUAGCUGUGCCUAGGGACAGACGAAGAACCAGGGUUGCCCUGCUGCGUGAGGCUCCAGGGGCGGUAAAUGUGGCAACGUCACUAGGGGUGUCGGUGGCGGGCAGGGAUGAGAAAGCGGACGAGAUGCUAUGCUUGCAGCUGGAAGUAACCUCACAGCUGUGUGCAUGAGUUCUCACAGCAGACUUGAACGGCUCUGCUAGUUGCUAGGAAAGCAGCACACUCUCAUUGCAGGAGGCUCCUGUGAUCUGUUGAAGAUGAAACUUUGGACGCUGGUGACAGAGAAGCCGAUGAGGAGAGGGGUGCUGCCGGAGCUCGUCCUCCCUGCCGAGGAAGGGCUGGCUGGAGAUGAGAAGACCAGGGGAGGCCUGGAGCACGGCAGCUGCAAGGCAGCCAAGUUCAGGAUCUCACGUGGAAGAUGCAAAGCAAUAAGUAGGAUUGAAAAAGGGGGGGGUCUUGGACGGAGAAGAAUUCCUCCCCUUAAAGGACUUAAGUGGAGGUAACCUUAGGGUUAGAAUAUGGGAAGAGGUCCUGCGAGCGGUUCUUGAUGCUCAUGCGUUACUUCCUCUGUGUUUGGAGGGGGUGUAUCUCUAAGAGUAAGAAACAGCAGAGAUGGCAGGAGAUGCGCCUGGGCAAACAAAGAGCGUGGAUAAAAUCAAAGGAGAGGAGGAGGAACAGAAGAGGCGAGGGGGGGCAAGGCCCACUUCAGAAUCCCUUCUGGGGAGGGAGGUCAAGGCUAACAGAAGUCUCCAGGGGUCGCUGCUGAGAUGGCUCCUUGGGAAUCCCAGAUCAGGGAGCAAAGAGUCUUCGAGGAGGAAUGAUCUUGUUCUUAAUUGCGGAGUAGCUGGUGAAAGAUGAUUCAGGAAAGAUGCCCGAGGACCCAAGGAUAACCAACAUCACCUCCUUCCCCGGAAAAGUGAGGGAACGGGUUGUUCUAGAAGUCAGCUCCAAGUCAGCGGAGGAGAAGAAAUGUUUAAGGAACGGUCGCAGUGGAUCAACCAGGUUUAGGGCCAGCGUGGGGAUCCUGACGGCAAGACUCUGGUGCCUCUGUGGAGUGAGGUGAGCCGCACCCUUUUGUCCCCUGGCACCCACUCCCAGCCAGAAACAAGUCCUUUGUGUUUGGUGACGGUUUGUCUCUUUCUUCUUUGGUGUGAGGCAGGUUCCCUUAUGGGGAAGGGGUCUUUUUGUUGUGUGGCUUCUGUGGAGUUUGGGGUCCCAGGGCUGCAGUCUCCGGUGAGGUCUAGCACUUUAGGGCUGUGUUGGUUUGGUUUUUUU
Non-coding RNA from Phasianus colchicus (ring-necked pheasant), 1682 nucleotides. NCBI's taxonomy places the organism in Eukaryota, Metazoa, Chordata, Aves, Galliformes, Phasianidae. The record is from RefSeq and is a predicted model, not a curated record.